This 1404-nucleotide ribosomal RNA is filed under the name Eurhynchus acanthopterus. RNAcentral's name for it is "partial 16S ribosomal RNA". Lineage: Eukaryota; Metazoa; Arthropoda; Insecta; Coleoptera; Brentidae. The record is from RNAcentral.
UUCUUAAAAAUAAAAGAAUUUGGCGGUAUUUUAGUCUAUUCAGAGGAACCUGUCCUAUAAUUGAUAUUCCACGAUAAAAAUUACUUAUUUUUAAGUUUGUAUAUCGCCGUAGGUUGAAUGUUUUUAAAGAAAAAUAAUAUUCAAUAAUUUAAUAAUAAAAAAAAAUCAGGUCAAGAUAUAGCAAUAAAUAAGAAGAGAUGGGUUACAAUAAAUGUAUUUAGUUGGUUUAAUUAAGGAAGAUAUUAAUUAAUAAAUUGGAUUUGAUAGUAAUUUUAAUAAUUUUAUUAAAAUGAUUUUAGCUCUAAAAUAUGUACAUAUCGCCCGUCACUUUCACUUUAAAGUGGAAUAAGUCGUAACAAAGUAGGUGUACUGGAAAGUGUGCCUAGAAAGGCAAGUUAAAGCUAAGUAUAGUUUUUUAUUUACAUUAAAAAGAUUUAUUGUUUAAUUCAAUAUAAUUUGAUUUAAGUAAAUUAUUUAUGUGUAUAUAUAUAUAUAUAUAUAUAUUAAUUUUUUAAGGAUUUAAAAUAAAUAUAUUAAAGUUUUAGUAUAGUUAUAGAAAAAAUUUAUUAUUAUUAUAGUGAAUUAGUAUUGUAAAAGAAUUUAAGUUUAAAAUUUAAUAAGAAGAAUUAAUUUUUUGUACCUUGUGUAUCAGGGUUUAUUAAUUAAAAUUUUUAUAUAAAAAUUUUCUCGAAUUUAAAAGAGCUAAUUAAAUAUAUUUUUUAUUGUAGCAUAAAUAUUAAAAAUAUUUAAUUAGAAGUGAAAAGUUAUUCGUUUUUAAAUAUAUCUAGUUUUUUAAGAAAUAAAUUAAAUUUAUUUAUUAUAAAUAAAUAUUUAAAUAUUUAAUAAAUUAUUAAUAAUAAUUUAUAUUUUAAGGGUUAAGCUUUAAAAUAGAAAUUUUAAAAGUUAAAGAUAAUGAGUUAAAAAGUAGGAUUAGAAGUUUUUAUCUUUUAAAGUAUGUUAUAAUUUAUUAAUCAAAAUAUAUUAUUUUUAUUUACUUUAAAUUUUUUAUUAAAAUUAUAAUUAUAAUUAUAUUAAUUAGGUAAUAAUGAUAAAAUUAGUAUAAAUUUUUUGUUUAAAUUUAUUUUUAAUGAUAGGUUAAAUAAAGGAAUUCGGCAAAUAAGUUUUUCACCUGUUUAUUAAAAACAUGGCCUUUUGAUUAUAAUUUAAGGUCUGACCUGCCCAAUGAAUAAUUAAAUGGCCGCAGUAUAUUGACUGUGCAAAGGUAGCAUAAUCAUUAGUUUUUUAAUUAAAAGCUUGAAUGAAAGGUUUGAUGAAAAAACAUCUGUCUCUAUUUAAAUUUUUUUAGAAUUUUAUUUUUAAGUAAAAAAGCUUAAAUUAAAUUAAAAGACGAGAAGACCCUAUAGAGUUUAAUAAUUUUAUUUAUUAAAAAGUUAUAGAAUUAUU